GUUCCCCUUCCGGUUCCCCGCCGGAAGUGCUGCGCGGCCCUUCCGCUCCCGGCUCCCCCCUGGUUCCCCCCGCCCUGCGUUCCCUCGCGGCGGUCGCGGGGCGGUGCCGCCAUCUGCGGGGCAGUGACACGGGUGUACUCCUGACGUGGCCGGCAGGCUGCCGGCGGAGCGUGAGUUCUCGCUUCAAACGCAGGUUUCUUGUUAUUUUCGAACGUGAAUUGAAGGACGCAGAUCCGUGCUUUGGCGAUGUUUGCACUUUGAAACUAGGAACGUGCCUCCUAAACGAUAACUGAUGGAUAAAGGGAGGAGCGCGUCGCGCUGAGGACACCCCCGAGAUUUGCCGGGCUGCUUUGGGUGAAUGGCAGUGAAUAGGUGGGGUCUGCGCUGAGCCGAGCUGGGCUGGUUUCUCUGGGCGCUGGCAGGCGUGGGGCACGAGGUGCCCUCCACAGUCAUUUCUGACUAUGGAUUUUGUAACUGUAAGCUUGUAAUUAAAGAAACUGUUUAUAUCUAAGUGUGUCUGCCGGAAUGAGCUGCGCUUCUCAAUCUGUAAUUAGGCACACAAAUAAAUUUGACUUAAUUUUAA
Numida meleagris (helmeted guineafowl) is the source of this 583-nucleotide long non-coding RNA. RefSeq lists it as uncharacterized. Lineage: Eukaryota; Metazoa; Chordata; Aves; Galliformes; Numididae. The transcript has 2 exons. The record is from RefSeq and is a predicted model, not a curated record.